Molecule: ribosomal RNA, 464 nt
Filed under: uncultured bacterium
Lineage: Bacteria
Description: partial 16S ribosomal RNA
Rfam family: Bacterial small subunit ribosomal RNA
Source: RNAcentral
CCUACGGGUGGCAGCAGUAGGGAAUUUUCGUCAAUGGGCGCAAGCCUGAACGAGCAAUGCCGCGUGAACGAGGAAGGUCUUCGGAUCGUACAGUUCUGUUGAUGGGGAAAAAGAGCGGAGAGAGGAAAUGCCUUCUGAUUGAUAUUACCCUUCGAGGAAGUCCCGGCUUACUACGUGCCAGCAGCCGCGCGAUUACGUAGGUGGCGAGCGUUAUCCGGAAUGAUUGGGGGUAAAGGGUGCGUAGGCGGCCUGCUAGGUCUGGGGUGAACGGUACCGGCUCAACCGGUGCAGGCUCUGGAAACUGGCGGGCUAGAGAGCAGGAGAGGGCGGUGGAACUCCAGGUGUAGCAGUAAAAUGCGUAGAUAUAUGGAAGAACACCAGUGGCGAAGGCGGCCGCCUGGACUGUUACUGACGCUGAGGCACGAAGGCGUGGGGAGCAAAUAGGAUUAGAUACCCGAGUAGUC